UUUUUUGAGAUGGAGUCUCGCACUGUCACCCGGGCUGGAGUGCGAGUGCAGUGGUGUGAUCUUGGCUCACUGCAAGCUCCACCUUCCAGGCUCAAGCAAUUCUCCUGCCUCAGCCUCCUGAGUAGCUGGGAUUACAGGCGCCCACCACCACGCCAGGCUAAUUUUUUGUAUUUUUAGUAGAAACGGGUUUCAUUAUGUUGGCCAGGCUGGUCUUGAACGCCUGACCUCGUAUCCACCCGCCUCAGCCUCCCAAAGUGCUGGGAUUACAAGCAUGAGCCACCACGCCCAGCCCAUAAUUUAUUGAUUUUUUAAAAUUUGUCCAGCCUUCUAUCACCACGUCGAACCCAUUAGCUACAGCCAUCCCAUGAGAAGCUGAGUGGAUUCAGCCCCACCUCCUGCUCACAGACCCUGUCCGAGCACCUCAUUCGUCCCAACAGCGUCACUGCAGGACCCCCAGGACGUUGGACUGCCAGCUCCCUGGGUCUCCUCCUCUCUGGGGCAGAUCCUCAGUCCUCCCUUGACUUCACGACUAUGGCCAGAUCAUGUGUGGACUGUCCCUCUCUUUGGGUCUCCAGAGCGCUUGCAUCAAACACCCCUAACUCAGAAGUGUGCAGCCACACUGGGACUCAGAACCCAACAACAGGGACAGAAGACUCACGCCCUUGGGGUGCCCGGUCUCGUGGCAUCAGGCAUGACUUCCAGCUCCUGCGCCUUCCCCAGCAACUGCUGACUGGGGACCCAGACCGGGAGCUGAGCGACGGGCCUGGCGAGCGAAGCUCGGGGUCUCACUCAGGCACCAGCCCCUCCUUGCCCCAGGCCCUUGGCACAGCCCUAUUCAGGCAGGAGCUGCUCUUCUGGGGUAUCGCGAUCCACUUAAGGAUGAGGCAGACUUGGUGACAAGCUGGUCUGAGCAGCGCUUCCAGAGCCAGAACUGAGCCCAGUGAGAGCGCACCCUGGGGCAGCCUGGAUUCCUGGGGUGUCCCCGGCAGCCACACACAGCCAUGCACUACCCAACUGCACUCCUCUUCCUCAUCCUGGCCAAUGGGGCCCAGGCCUUUCGCAUCUGCGCCUUCAAUGCCCAGCGGCUGACGCUGGCCAAGGUGGCCAGGGAGCAGGUGAUGGACACCUUAGUUCGGAUACUGGCUCGCUGUGACAUCAUGGUGCUGCAGGAGGUGGUGGACUCUUCUGGCAGCGCCAUCCCCCUCCUGCUUCGAGA
Molecule: long non-coding RNA, 1216 nt
Filed under: Pan troglodytes (chimpanzee)
Lineage: Eukaryota; Metazoa; Chordata; Mammalia; Primates; Hominidae
Description: long non-coding RNA NONPTRT018570
Source: RNAcentral